Molecule: ribosomal RNA, 488 nt
Filed under: uncultured bacterium
Lineage: Bacteria
Description: bacterial SSU rRNA
Rfam family: Bacterial small subunit ribosomal RNA
Source: RNAcentral
GAUCCUGGCUUAGGACGAACGCUGGCGGCGUGCCUAACACAUGCAAGUCGAACGGACGAGGGGAGCUUGCUCCCCAAGUUAGUGGCGGACGGGUGAGUAACACGUGAGCAACCUGCCCUUCGGAGGGGGACAACAGCGGGAAACUGCUGCUAAUACCGCAUAACGUAUCCUGGAGGCAUCUCCGGGAUACCAAAGAUUUUAUCGCCGAAGGAUGGGCUCGCGUCUGAUUAGAUAGUUGGCGGGGCAACGGCCCACCAAGUCUACGAUCAGUAGCCGGACUGAGAGGUUGAACGGCCACAUUGGGACUGAGAUACGGCCCAGACUCCUACGGGAGGCAGCAGUGGGGAAUAUUGGGCAAUGGGGGCCAACCCUGACCCAGCAACGCCGCGUGGAGGAAGAAGGCUUUCGGGUUGUAAACUCCUUUGACGAGGGACGAUAGUGACGGUACCUCGAAAACAAGCCACGGCUAACUACGUGCCAGCAGCCGC